AUGUUUGAAUCAUUGGGCAUCCUGUGCUCUCACAUCAUUGUUGUUCUAAAGAAUGAUGGAUGUAAUGAAAUUCCUAGCCAAUAUGUGUUGCAUAGGUGGUCUAAAAUGGCUGCACGACAUCUUUCUCAUGAUGCUAAUGGACAUGAGCUAGAAGGGUCAUCUACAUCUCUUUCACCUACCAUCAAGAAACUGUACUCAGAAACAUGCUCGAUGUUCAGCUCGGCAUUGCAUACAGCUAAGCAUUGUGAGGACAAGAUGAAAUACUUUCACAAAGUUCUUUCUAAUGCUCUUGCGCACUUAGACGCAGACGGUGCCGCUUGA
RNAcentral lists this ribosomal RNA (321 nucleotides) under Triticum aestivum (bread wheat). RNAcentral's name for it is "partial small subunit ribosomal RNA". Lineage: Eukaryota; Viridiplantae; Streptophyta; Magnoliopsida; Poales; Poaceae. The record is from RNAcentral.